This 247-nucleotide ribosomal RNA is filed under the name uncultured Bacilli bacterium. RNAcentral's name for it is "partial 16S ribosomal RNA". It matches the Rfam family "Bacterial small subunit ribosomal RNA", at positions 796 to 1041 of the family's 1533-position model. The record is from RNAcentral. Lineage: Bacteria; Bacillati; Bacillota; Bacilli.
CACGCCGUAAACGAUGAGUGCUAGGUGUUAGGCCCUUUCCGGGGCUUAGUGCCGCAGCUAACGCAUUAAGCACUCCGCCUGGGGAGUACGACCGCAAGGUUGAAACUCAAAGGAAUUGACGGGGGCCCGCACAAGCAGUGGAGUAUGUGGUUUAAUUCGAAGCAACGCGAAGAACCUUACCAGGGCUUGACAUCCUCGGACGACACUAGAGAUAGUGUUUUCUCUUCGGAGACUGAGAGACAGGUGG